UACGUAGGUGGCGAGCGUUGUCCGGAUUUACUGGGUGUAAAGGGAGCGUAGGCGGACUUUUAAGUGAGAUGUGAAAUACCCGGGCUCAACUUGGGUGCUGCAUUUCAAACUGGAAGUCUAGAGUGCAGGAGAGGAGAAUGGAAUUCCUAGUGUAGCGGUGAAAUGCGUAGAGAUUAGGAAGAACACCAGUGGCGAAGGCGAUUCUCUGGACUGUAACUGACGCUGAGGCUCGAAAGCGUGGGGAGCAAACAGGAUUAGAUACCCU
RNAcentral lists this ribosomal RNA (265 nucleotides) under uncultured prokaryote. Its description in RNAcentral is "partial 16S ribosomal RNA". It matches the Rfam family "Bacterial small subunit ribosomal RNA", at positions 524 to 788 of the family's 1533-position model. The record is from RNAcentral.